AUCUGGAUGACGAGUCCAAAAUAGGAUGAAAUUCGCAUCCUGGAU
Molecule: non-coding RNA, 45 nt
Filed under: Trichobilharzia regenti
Lineage: Eukaryota; Metazoa; Platyhelminthes; Trematoda; Strigeidida; Schistosomatidae
Source: RNAcentral